This 114-nucleotide Y RNA is filed under the name Microcebus murinus (gray mouse lemur). RNAcentral's name for it is "Y RNA (ENSMICG00000046196.1)". It matches the Rfam family "Y RNA". Rfam says of the family: Y RNAs are components of the Ro ribonucleoprotein particle (Ro RNP), in association with Ro60 and La proteins. The Y RNAs and Ro60 and La proteins are well conserved, but the function of the Ro RNP is not known. In humans the RNA component can be one of four small RNAs -- hY1, hY3, hY4 and hY5. Lineage: Eukaryota; Metazoa; Chordata; Mammalia; Primates; Cheirogaleidae. The record is from Rfam by way of RNAcentral.
GGCUGGUCCGAAGGUAGUGAGUUAUCUCACGUGAUUGUUCACAGUCAGUUACAGAUUGAACUCCUUGUUCUACUAUUUUCCCCCCUCCUCACUACUGCACUUGACUAGUCUUAA